UUAGCACCAUUGUUGAUCUUCAACAUUUUAUCAUGGUAUCAGAGCAUAGGCUCCGAUUCGUUCCUUAAUCACUCGAUUUAGUCGAUUUCUGUAAAAGCUUCACUCAUUUUUCUCUUUUUCGAGAUUUUUUUGAUUCGCCUUAAUUAGGGCAAAAUUGCAUAAGGUAAUUACACCUAUUAAUUUCUGAUUGCUAUUCCAUAGUGAGACGAUUCCUACAUUUUUGAAUCAUGGCAACGGACAAGUGAAGCCCUAGAAUCAUCUAGCCCGCUGUACAUGUAUCCGUCAGAGAACGCCGGAAUGAUGCUGAUACUGACGGCUUUCGAAGCUACUAGUUAUAGAUCCUGGAGAAGAGGAGUGCUUAGGGAAUUAUCGGUGAAGAACAAUGUUAGUUUUACACUGGAAAGGUUAAGAAGCUAGAUCCAAUUCACGCCACUUUCAAUCAAUGGGAAUGAUGUGACGAUAUGGUCACCUCCUAGAUUCUCAACCCGCUUUCAAAAGAUUUAGCUGAUAGUUUGCCAGUAUGUUAAGGAUGUGAUGGAGUUAUGACAUGAAUUGGAAGAUAGAUAUGACCAAACUGAUGGUGACAAAUUAUAUCAGCUUCAAAAGGAAAUCAGUGAUCUAAGUCAAGGAACUCUUAACAUUACUAGAUACUAUACCAAAAUGAAAAAGCUUUUGGAAGGAUUUAACAACUUGAAUGCGCAAGCUCUGUGCAAUUGCACCUGCACUUGUGGAGCUAAGGAAAAUAUACCCAAGGCGGAACAGGAUAGACGAUUAAUUCAGUUCUUAAUGGGAUUAAAUGAGGUGUACACUGUGGUGAGAGGCAGUAUCUUGAUGAUGAACCACUACUCAGCAUUGCACAAGCAUUUUUCAUACUAAUUCAAGAGGAGAAACAGAGGGAAGUUAAGCCACACAAUCAGAUCUCUUAAUAUAAGUAAAGGAAACAACAAUUUUAGGACUAAUUACAACUCAAGUGGAUAUAAUACUGGAAAUGCUGGAAACAAUGCAAAUAGAGGAGGAUGCACUUCGAACAAACCUCGCCUGUUUUGUGACUACUAUAAGAGGCCAUGACAUAGUAAGGAUAAAUGUUUUAAACUCCAUGAAUAUCCUCAGAAUUCAAGAUAUCCCAGCUAUGGUAACAAUAAUACAGGGAAAAAAAUUGCAUCAAAUGUGUUUGGGACACCAAAUGAUGGACCUAAUGCUUCAGAAGUCGAAUGAGAUCAUCAUGAAGAGGGAAGACUUAUGAAUCACCUGACUCAAGAGCAAUAUGGACAACUUCUCAACAUUGUAGAAAAUCUCCAAGUAGGAAACACAAGGGAGAAGCCAGGAAACAUGAAGCUGUCUGUUGGAGCUGUGAACUUUGGAGGUACAAUCGCUUGUUCUUCUUCUAUUGAGCAUGAUAAUCAAUUGCGUGAAUGUUCUGAUUCAAAUGUUGAUAAUUGGAUCCUUGAUUCUGGGGCCACAAACCAUAUGACCUUCAAUAAGAAAUUACUAUGCAAUGUCAAGACCUUAGUCUACCCUUACUUAGUUUCCUUACCUAAUGGAUACAAAGUGAAGGUGACACUCAUUGUUGAUGUGAUCCUUAGUCCAAAAUUUAUUUUGAAAAAAGUACUUUAUAUUCCUAGCUUCAAAUUUAACUUGAUUUUUGUUCAUUCCCUAACUGUGCAACUAGAUUGCAUUAUUGUAUUUACAAAAUCCUCUUGUCUUCUUCUACAACGCUCUUUAUUGAAGAGGCCACUAGAGAUUGGUGAAGUGAAGGACAACCUUUACUUUCAUUGUACAAACUCAUGCAGAAGUAACUCAAUUUUACAUUCUAUACUUGACACUACUGCCUUGACACACACCUCACACACAACACCUUAUGCAUCCACUUCCACACAUGAUAAAAAUAAAAUGCAGUCCAUUGUAGGAAAGACUGUUUCAAAUAAUAAUAAUAAGUGCCUUGUUUCAAAUGUUUCUUCUUAUCCUUCCUUUGAUGCUCAUGGAUCUUGUGAUUUUGUUCAUAUUCCUAAUGCAUCUGCUUCUGAGAAAUUCAAUGUAGAUAUUUUGUAGUAUAAUAAAUUAUCCCAUCUUAGCCUUUUGUCAAAAUGAGGGGCAUCUUAGCCAUCCCAACCACCUUUGCACGAUAACAGCCAUUCUUCUGCCUUGUCUGUCCAAUGGCCAGGCAGAGCAGAUCUCCUUUCCCAUAAAAUACCACAAAAACACUUAAAAUCUUUGAACUGUUACAUGUGGAUCUCUGGGGUCCUUAUCACAUUCUAAUCUAUGAUGGUUACAAAUAUUUCAUUACCCUUGUAGAUGAUUAUAGUAGGUCACACAAACACAUCUUGUCACUUGCAAGAGCAAUUGUCUACACAUUAUUAAAGCCUUUGUUGCUAUGGUAGAAAAUGAAUUCCAAACUACCAUUUACAGAUAAUGGUCGGUAGUUUAUCAAUGCUGCCAGCAGCAUGUUUUUCCAAAGUAUAGGAAUCAUACACCAAAAGAUUUGCCCUUAUACUCCCCAACAAAACGGAAUAGUAGAGAGAAAAUACAAAUAUCUCCUUGAAACAGCUAGAGCAUUACUAUAUUAAUCCAAGCUACCUUUGCAAUUCCGGAGAGAAUGCAUACUUACCUCUACCUACCUAAUAAACAUAUUGCCAUCAUCCUCUAUAAAAAAUAAGUGUCCAUAUGAACUAUUCUACCAAAAAAUCCACUUUAUUCACAUCUUAGGAGUUUUGGUUGCCUUUGCUUCCCAACCACUCUCAAAACAUACCAGGACAAGCUUGAACCUAGAUCAACUCCACAUGUCUUCCUAGGAUUCCCUUUUGGAACAAAAGGCUACAAGGUAUUAAAUUUUGUCAUAAAAAGGAUACACAUUUCUUGUAUUAUUUCACAAAAAUAUCUUUCCAUUUAGUUUAAAAUCAAGUUCUAAUGAUCUGUUCCCUAAUCACGGUAGCCCUUCUUUCUAGUACCUCAAAUUCACUUGAAUGCAGAAAAUCAUGCACUAACUGAUUCCAACACAAGUGAUUCUAUUAUAUCUCCUAUUAAAUCAUCUCACAAUCACAAUAUGGUAUCACCAACAAUAGUGUCAGGGAACCAAGACUCUAAAAAUGCGCAGAAUACAAAUCAAUAUCAUAUCUCAUCUCCACAGUAUCAAGACCAAAACAACCCACUUAGUAUUGCUAGUUCAUCUUAUUAUAGCCAACAUACUCCAACCUUACCUCCAGAAAUACUAGACCAUGUAGAACUCACAAACCACCCACAUACUUGUAAGAUUAUGUAUGUACACUACCUAAACAACCUGUGAAUGACCACCUUGUGAAUACCUCACCUCAAGAUGAACAAAGUACUUCUUCUCUGUCCUUCAAUACCUUUAUUUCUGAAGUGCAACCUAUUGACAUUAGAGCUCCGGCCACUAAUAGUCAAUAUUUGGUAAAGAAUGUUUCACAAGAUUGUGAACCUGCCUUAUAUGAGGAAGCAAUUGUUGUGCCUGCAUGGCAAGCAACAAUGACUCAAGAAUUUGAGGCAUUGUACACCAAUAACACCUGGGAUUUAGUGUCACUUCUAGCUGGAAAGAGGGCCAUAGGAUAUAAAUGGGUGUAUAGGACAAAGCAUAAGGCAAAUGGGAGUGUAGAAAGGUUCAAAGCUAGACUAGUUGUCAUUUUUACAACAGGUGAGAAGGUUUCAGUAUAAUUCGCUCCAACUUGUUGAGUAAAACCCUUCACUAGUGAAGGGUUAUACUCAACAAGUUGGAGUGAAUUAUACUGAAACCUUCUCACCUGUUGUAAAAAUGACAACAACAAGGACUCUGAUUGGGGUAGCGGUUAAAAAGGGAUGAGAAAUGUUUCAAUUAGAUGUGCACAAUGCUUUUCUUCAUGGUGAUUUACAUAAAAAGUAUACAUGGAGACACCACUAGGUCUAUUUGUAGAACAGUCUAGAAUGGUAUGCAAGUUGAAUAAAUCCUUGUAUGGAUUGAAACAAGCUAGUAGGCAAUGGUAUGCCAAGCUGACAGAAGCUCUUUGUUCUAUAGGGUAUACAUAUUCUAUGUUUGAUUACUCCUUGUUUCAUAAAGGCAAAGGGAAUUCAAUAACCUUUGUAACUGUCUAUAUGGAUGAUGUUAUUAUCACAGGAGCUUACUUAGAAGAAAUUACCAGCUUAAAGAAGUUCCUCCAUGAAACAUUUAGAAGAAAGGAUCUAAGGGGACUACAUUACUUUCUAGGAUUGGAGAUACUUUAUAAGUGUGAUGGAUUUCUGAUUACAGAGAGAAAUUUCACUCAAGUCAUUCUUAAGGAAUUUGACUGUAUAGGAUGUACAACUGUGACUUUACCUAUUGAUCUAACAAUAAAGUUGAAAGCAGAUGAAGGACUAUCCCUUUUAGACCCUGGUGUUUGAGACUUAAGCCAAUAUAUGCAGAAUCUUAGAGACACUCACCUAAGAGCAGCAAUACAUAUAUUGAGAUAUUUGAAAGGGAGCUUAUCUCUCGGGAUUUUUCUUGUCUAACAGUAGAGACUACAGGGUAAGGGCCUUUUGUGACUCUGAUUGGGCAGCUUGCCUUGAAACCAUGAAGUCAAUUAGUGGCUACAUAGUAUUGCUUGCCGAUAGUCCCAUUAGUUGGAAAUCCAAGAAGCAAUAUACUAUUUCAUUGUUGUCAGUAGAAGCUGAGUAUACAACAGUAAGAAAAGUGGUUGGGGAAUUAAUGGCUUGCAAGACUGCUUGAGGAACUCACAGUACCUCUAUCUAUAAAUAUACCUAUUUUCUGUGAUAGCUAAGCGGCACGUCACAUUGAAAAGAAUCGUGUAUUUCAUGAGCGGACCAAACUCAUAGAAGUAGAUUGCCAUUUUGUACUAGACAAGCUUCAAGAUAGACUGAUCUUACUACAUUACAUCCCUAGUCAUGAACAACUUGCCGAUAUUUUUACUAAAUCUUUGCCAGGCAACACGCAUACUCUUCUAUAAGGCUGUAUCCUGUUCCGGUUCUGGGUCUAUUUGGGUCUGGCGUUCCGGUUCUGGCGGUUCCGGGUUUGGCGGUUCUGGCGGUUCCAGUUCUGGCGGUUCUGAAGGUGGAACCGGCCCGUGACGGUUCCAGGUACCAUCCGGUUCCGGUUCUGGCGGUUCCGGUUCCGGCGGUUCUGGUAACAAGACGCAUAGCCGAAGAUAAGACUGCAUUCGGUUCCGGUUCUGGGUCUAUUUGGGUCUACGGUUCCGAUUUUGGCGAUUUCGAUUCUGGCGGUUCCGGUUCUGGCGGUUCCAGUUCUGGCGGUUCUGAAGGUGGAACCGGCCCGUGACGGUUCCAGGUACCAUGCGGUUCCGGUUCUGGCGGUUCUGGCGGGUCUGUCGGGUCUGAUUUUUUUUUUUUUAAUUCAAUAUCUUGUAUAGUAGUCAUUAGUAUAGUGUAAAAUAUAUUUUAUAUGGUGUACUUAGUUAUUAGUAUAGUAUAUAUUGUGUGGUAGUAAUUAGUAUAUAUUGUAUAUAAGUAGUAUGUUUUGUAUAUUACUGGAUAAAUUGGUCCGUACAAGAUACACAUCAUUGAAUAUUUUCUACGAUCAUUUAAGUAGAGCAUUCCCUCUUAAACUAUGGCCUGGUCCUGUAGGAGAGUCUCUGAAUUUGGAGUGGGUGAAAAAAAUAAGGCGCGACAGCUUAGCAUUACAUUAAUUUAACGACUUUUGUAUUAUAUUAUUGUUGUAUUUUGGGAAGUGUUUACGUCACUAAGUCAAUCAUUCUUUUGAAAAUACGAAGUUCCCAUCAUUAUUUUACAAGGGAUGUAGGUAAUUUGGAUUACAUAAUGCAUGCCAAAGUUAUUAUAUACUUCAUUCAUUGUAUUUGUCGUCUUGAAUAAUUUAGUCCAUCCACUUAAGCAAACCACAUGGGUCAUGUUUGAUUGAACACAAUAAUCUAAUCUUAAUUUUGAGCAUUUCAAAGUGAACUUUUAUUAAAUCCAACGUAGACUACAAGGCAGG
This 5929-nucleotide long non-coding RNA is filed under the name Nicotiana benthamiana. RNAcentral describes it as "long non-coding RNA (NBEN_LNC011887)". The record is from RNAcentral. Lineage: Eukaryota; Viridiplantae; Streptophyta; Magnoliopsida; Solanales; Solanaceae.